This 497-nucleotide ribosomal RNA is filed under the name uncultured bacterium. RNAcentral's name for it is "partial 16S ribosomal RNA". It matches the Rfam family "Bacterial small subunit ribosomal RNA", at positions 28 to 507 of the family's 1533-position model. The record is from RNAcentral.
GAUGAACGCUGGCGGCGUGCCUAAUACAUGCAAGUCGAGCGAACAGACGAGGAGCUUGCUCCUCUGACGUUAGCGGCGGACGGGUGAGUAACACGUGGAUAACCUACCUAUAAGACUGGGAUAACUUCGGGAAACCGGAGCUAAUACCGGAUAAUAUAUUGAACCGCAUGGUUCAAUAGUGAAAGACGGUUUUGCUGUCACUUAUAGAUGGAUCCGCGCCGCAUUAGCUAGUUGGUAAGGUAACGGCUUACCAAGGCAACGAUGCGUAGCCGACCUGAGAGGGUGAUCGGCCACACUGGAACUGAGACACGGUCCCGACUCCUACGGGAGGCAGCAGUAGGGAAUCUUCCGCAAUGGGCGAAAGCCUGACGGAGCAACGCCGCGUGAGUGAUGAAGGUCUUCGGAUCGUAAAACUCUGUUAUUAGGGAAGAACAAAUGCGUAAGUAACUAUGCACGUCUUGACGGUACCUAAUCAGAAAGCCACGGCUAACUACGUG